AAUACGGAGGGAGCUAGCGUUGUUCGGAAUUACUGGGCGUAAAGCGCGCGUAGGCGGCUUUGUAAGUUAGAGGUGAAAGCCCGGGGCUCAACUCCGGAAUUGCCUUUAAGACUGCAUCGCUAGAAUCCGGGAGAGGUGAGUGGAAUUCCGAGUGUAGAGGUGAAAUUCGUAGAUAUUCGGAAGAACACCAGUGGCGAAGGCGGCUCACUGGACCGGUAUUGACGCUGAGGUGCGAAAGCGUGGGGAGCAAACAGGA
Molecule: ribosomal RNA, 256 nt
Filed under: uncultured prokaryote
Description: partial 16S ribosomal RNA
Rfam family: Bacterial small subunit ribosomal RNA
Source: RNAcentral